Molecule: long non-coding RNA, 573 nt
Filed under: Mustela putorius furo (domestic ferret)
Lineage: Eukaryota; Metazoa; Chordata; Mammalia; Carnivora; Mustelidae
Description: lncRNA (ENSMPUG00000028718.1)
Source: RNAcentral
CUCUCACCCAGGUCACCAAUGACUUCUCCAAGUCCAAAGGCUAGUUCUCUGUCUUCAUCUUAUUCAUCAGACACUUUGACAGAAGUAACCACUCACUCUUCUCUGAAACCCCUUCUUUGCUUGCUUUAGGGAUGCCACUGUCUCCUGGUUGUCCUUCCUAGGUUACUCCUUCUCACUCUCCUUUCCUGAUUUUUCCCUCCCUCAUCCAUGCUGCGGGAAACUGCCCUUCCUCCACCUGGCGAGGGCAAAGGACUGGAGGUUUACUCUCUAGAAAGGGUGAAACAGAGGUCUCUGAACUAGAUGUCAACCAGCACAAUUGAGAGGGAACAAGGCCCUGGACUUGCCUGGCCUGAAUAUUACAUGAGGCCCAGUAGUCCUGCUCUUCCCCCUCUGCCCAACCCAUGUGAAUGCAGAAUGGAAGCUGGCCAAGCCUCCAGCAUCCCACCUGCUUUGCAACUGAAAGAAAGAAGAAUUGGAGGAUCAGAGAGACCGGAAAUCACACAGGUGGUAAAUACAAGAGCCGGGACUAAGACCCUGAAGUAUGUUUCCAAAACUCGUGGCCUCUGUCUCUAA